This 468-nucleotide ribosomal RNA is filed under the name uncultured bacterium. RNAcentral's name for it is "bacterial SSU rRNA". It matches the Rfam family "Bacterial small subunit ribosomal RNA", at positions 329 to 793 of the family's 1533-position model. The record is from RNAcentral.
UUCCAGACUCCUACGGGAGGCAGCAGUGAGGAAUAUUGGUCAAUGGGCGCAAGCCUGAACCAGCCAAGUCGCGUGAGGGAUGACGGUCCUAUGGAUUGUAAACCUCUUUUGUCGGGGAGCAAGGCCCGCCACGUGUGGCGGGAAGGAGAGUACCCGAAGAAAAAGCAUCGGCUAACUCCGUGCCAGCAGCCGCGGUAAUACGGAGGAUGCGAGCGUUAUCCGGAUUUAUUGGGUUUAAAGGGUGCGUAGGCGGACGCUUAAGUCAGCGGUAAAAUUGCGGGGCUCAACCCCGCCCAGCCGUCGGAACUGCCGGGCUAGAGUGGGCGAGAAGUGCGCGGAAUGCGUGGUGUAGCGGUGAAAUGCAUAGAUAUCACGCAGAACUCCGAUUGCGAAGGCAGCGCACCGGCGCCCUACUGACGCUCAGGCACGAAAGCGUGGGUAUCGAACAGGAUUAGAUACCCCUGUACG